RNAcentral lists this ribosomal RNA (1428 nucleotides) under uncultured organism. Its description in RNAcentral is "16S ribosomal RNA". It matches the Rfam family "Bacterial small subunit ribosomal RNA". The record is from RNAcentral.
GACGAACGCUGGCGGCGUGCUUAACACAUGCAAGUCGAACGGAAAGGCCCUGCUUUUGUGGGGUGCUCGAGUGGCGAACGGGUGAGUAACACGCGAGUAACCUGCCCUUGACUUUGGGAUAACUUCAGGAAACUGGGGCUAAUACCGGAUAGGAGCUCCUGCUGCAUGGUGGGGGUUGGAAAGUUUCGGCGGUUGGGGAUGGACUCGCGGCUUAUCAGCUUGUUGGUGGGGUAGUGGCUUACCAAGGCUUUGACGGGUAGCCGGCCUGAGAGGGUGACCGGCCACAUUGGGACUGAGAUACGGCCCAGACUCCUACGGGAGGCAGCAGUGGGGAAUAUUGCACAAUGGGCGGAAGCCUGAUGCAGCAACGCCGCGUGCGGGAUGACGGCCUUCGGGUUGUAAACCGCUUUCGCCUGUGACGAAGCGUGAGUGACGGUAAUGGGUAAAGAAGCACCGGCUAACUACGUGCCAGCAGCCGCGGUGAUACGUAGGGUGCGAGCGUUGUCCGGAUUUAUUGGGCGUAAAGGGCUCGUAGGUGGUUGAUCGCGUCGGAAGUGUAAUCUUGGGGCUUAACCCUGAGCGUGCUUUCGAUACGGGUUGACUUGAGGAAGGUAGGGGAGAAUGGAAUUCCUGGUGGAGCGGUGGAAUGCGCAGAUAUCAGGAGGAACACCAGUGGCGAAGGCGGUUCUCUGGGCCUUUCCUGACGCUGAGGAGCGAAAGCGUGGGGAGCGAACAGGCUUAGAUACCCUGGUAGUCCACGCUGUAAACGGUGGGUACUAGGUGUGGGGUCCAUUCCACGGGUUCCGUGCCGUAGCUAACGCUUUAAGUACCCCGCCUGGGGAGUACGGCCGCAAGGCUAAAACUCAAAGGAAUUGACGGGGCCCCGCACAAGCGGCGGAGCAUGCGGAUUAAUUCGAUGCAACGCGUAGAACCUUACCUGGGUUUGACAUGGAUCGGGAGUGCUCAGAGAUGGGUGUGCCUCUUUUGGGGUCGGUUCACAGGUGGUGCAUGGCUGUCGUCAGCUCGUGUCGUGAGAUGUUGGGUUAAGUCCCGCAACGAGCGCAACCCUUGUUCACUGUUGCCAGCACGUUAUGGUGGGGACUCAGUGGAGACCGCCGGGGUCAACUCGGAGGAAGGUGGGGAUGACGUCAAGUCAUCAUGCCCCUUAUGUCCAGGGCUUCACGCAUGCUACAAUGGCUGGUACAGAGAGUGGCGAGCCUGUGAGGGUGAGCGAAUCUCGGAAAGCCGGUCUCAGUUCGGAUUGGGGUCUGCAACUCGACCUCAUGAAGUCGGAGUCGCUAGUAAUCGCAGAUCAGCAACGCUGCGGUGAAUACGUUCCCGGGGCUUGUACACACCGCCCGUCAAGUCAUGAAAGUUGGUAACACCCGAAGCCGGUGGCCUAACCGUUGUGGGGGAGCCGUCGAAGGU